GAGUUUGAUCGUGGCUCAGAACGAACGCUGGCGGCAGGCUUAACACAUGCAAGUCGAACGCGUGUAGCAAUACACGAGUGGCGCACGGGUGAGUAACGCGUGGAUAUCUGCCUUUUGGUUCGGAAUAACCCCGGGAAACUGGGGCUAAUACCGGAUGGUUCCUACGGGAUAAAGAUUUAUCGCCAAAAGAUGAGUCCGCGUACGAUUAGCUAGUUGGUGGGGUAAUGGCUCACCAAGGCGACGAUCGUUAGCUGGUCUGAGAGGACGAUCAGCCACACUGGGACUGAGACACGGCCCAGACUCCUACGGGAGGCAGCAGUGGGGAAUAUUGGACAAUGGGGGCAACCCUGAUCCAGCCAUGCCGCGUGAGUGAUGAAGGCCUUCGGGUUGUAAAGCUCUUUUGGUC
RNAcentral lists this ribosomal RNA (406 nucleotides) under uncultured Alphaproteobacteria bacterium. RNAcentral's name for it is "bacterial SSU rRNA". It matches the Rfam family "Bacterial small subunit ribosomal RNA", at positions 9 to 441 of the family's 1533-position model. The record is from RNAcentral. Lineage: Bacteria; Pseudomonadati; Pseudomonadota; Alphaproteobacteria.